RNAcentral lists this small RNA (357 nucleotides) under Erinaceus europaeus (western European hedgehog). RNAcentral's name for it is "7SK RNA (ENSEEUG00000022450.1)". The stretch from base 1 to 186 matches the Rfam family "7SK RNA", at positions 49 to 171 of the family's 331-position model. From Rfam's summary of the family: 7SK was discovered as an abundant small nuclear RNA in the mid-70s but a possible function has only recently been suggested. Two independent studies have found that 7SK RNA binds the CDK9/cyclin T complex (known as elongation factor P-TEFb). The record is from RNAcentral. Lineage: Eukaryota; Metazoa; Chordata; Mammalia; Eulipotyphla; Erinaceidae.
AAACCUAAGGACCCACAGCAGUGGCUCUAGCUACUCGUUUAUGGCUAAAACCAGCUGCCUUGAAAAAAAAUACACUGAUGGUCAGGGCUGAUUCGGCUGAUCUGGCUGGCUAGCUGGGUGUCCCAUCCUCCCUUACCACUCUAUGUGCGUCCCUUCUGAAGCUGUGUGCUCCGUUGAAAAGGAUGAUUUUUUUUGCCUCUAGGGUUUUGCUGGGGCUUGGUGCCUGCACUAUGAAUCCACUGCUCCUGAUGGCCUUUUUUUUUUUUUUUAAUUAGACAGGACAGAGAGAAAUUGGGAGGGGAAGGGGAGAUAGACAGGGAGAGAGAAAGACACCUGAAGACCAGCUUCACUGCUUGU